UCAGCAUACCAAACAACUCGU
This 21-nucleotide non-coding RNA is filed under the name Caenorhabditis elegans. Lineage: Eukaryota; Metazoa; Nematoda; Chromadorea; Rhabditida; Rhabditidae. The record is from RNAcentral.